UUCGUAAACACUUAUAGCAGUCAUAUUUUGUUAAUUAACUAGGGAAAUGAAUUAAUAUUCUAAAUUAUUGUUCGUACAGCAUACUGUAAAUUCAUAUAGAAAUUUAGCUAGACAUGUAGAUGAACCAUUUUCUUCAGUUAUGUAUGUAUGCAUGCAUGCAUGGAGAAUGAGCGGUGGUUAAACUAUGAACGACACAAACAGCGACGAAGAUAUCUUUAUACCGCAAAAGGAUGGACUGGUCAUCGCGACAUAAGAUCGUUGCAGAAAUAUGAAAGACCCGAUAUUAAAACAAAACUGAUUGAAAUAUCAAAAUCUUUGGAUUGUCGCGUUAGCAGGGGCUGCAAAGUUAACAGUGCGAGUGAAGACCCGAUGCCGAUGGCUGAGAAGAGAAAUUCUACGAAGGAAGAGAUGCAGCAUAAACAUAUGGAAAGGAAGAGAGCACGGCUAGAAAUGCCGGAGGGAAGUUCUUUUUAACUUCUAUUAAUUUGAACAAUUUGAGUUUGAGUUUUAUCGUACGAAAUAUAUAGCUAUAGCGUGUUAGGGACAGAGUGGAACAACUGGUACAUGUAUAGUAUACGGUACAUUGUCAGUGUAAUUAUUAACUUUUGUAAUGUUUUGAUUGUAGUGUGUGUAAAAGCAGUAAGUCGGUGCAUUUCUGCAUCGGGUUUUAUCUGUAUAAAACCCGGCUUUCCUAGGGUUUUAUCUAUAUAAAGCCGGGUUUUAUAUAGAUAAAACCCGUGAAUUUAUAAUUAUUAAUUCAAUUCUAUUCAUCAACCC
This is a non-coding RNA of Paramuricea clavata, 777 nucleotides long. Lineage: Eukaryota; Metazoa; Cnidaria; Anthozoa; Malacalcyonacea; Plexauridae. The record is from the annotation of a GenBank genome assembly.